RNAcentral lists this ribosomal RNA (837 nucleotides) under uncultured fungus. Its description in RNAcentral is "eukaryotic LSU rRNA". The stretch from base 431 to 837 matches the Rfam family "Eukaryotic large subunit ribosomal RNA", at positions 1 to 405 of the family's 3401-position model. Lineage: Eukaryota; Fungi. The record is from RNAcentral.
AGGUCCAACCCAACACCAAUAAUUGAGUCCGCANUCUGAGUANGCCUANCGCCUUGAAUGUUUGAACAAGUUAAAACUUUCAACAACGGAUCUCUUGGCUCUUGCAUCGAUGAAGAACGCAGCGAAAUGCGAUAAGUAAUGUGAAUUGCAGAAUUCAGUGAAUCAUCGAAUCUUUGAACGCACAUUGCGCCUCUUGGUAUUCCUUGAGGCAUGCCUGUUCGAGCGUCACUACAAACCCUCUCAUAGUUAUUAUGGUAUUGAUGGAAGUGAACUGUGUCUAUUGAUGUACUCACACCACUCCAUUGAAAUGAAUAGGCAGGACAAGUGACAACUGCAAUGGACUUAGUAAAUGGUUUUCAGACAUGGACCAGUUCUUUGCUAUGUUGUACAGCCUGUAUCCAUGGACUCCCAUCCAGUAAGCACUUUGGGUUGACCUCGAAUCAGGUAGGGAUACCCGCUGAACUUAAGCAUAUCAAUAAGCGGAGGAAAAGAAACCAACAGGGAUUGCCCCAGUAACGGCGAGUGAAGCGGCAAAAGCUCAAAUUUGAAAUCUGGCACCCCUGGUGUCUGAGUUGUAAUUUGGAGAGGCAUCUUCCGGAGGGACCCAGCCUAUGUUCCUUGGAACAGGACAUCACAGAGGGUGAGAAUCCCGUUUAUGGCUGGAUGUAUCCUCCAGUCGGUAGUGCCUUCUACGAGUCGAGUUGUUUGGGAAUGCAGCUCAAAAUGGGUGGUAAAUUUCAUCUAAAGCUAAAUAUUGGCGAGAGACCGAUAGCGCACAAGUAGAGUGAUCGAAAGAUGAAAAGCACUUUGAAAAUAGAGUCNAACAGUACGUGAAAU